GAACUGAAACAUCUAAGUACCUGCAGGAAGAGAAAGAAAAUUCGAUUCCCUGAGUAGCGGCGAGCGAAACGGGAAAAGCCCAAACCAGCAAGCUUGCUUGUUGGGGUUGUAGGACUCCAAUAUGGUAGUUCUUUCAGAUAGUCGAAUGACUUGGAAAAGUCAGUCAAAGAGGGUAAAAACCCCGUAGACGAAAUGUGGAAGACACCUAGGAGGAUCCUGAGUACGGCGGAACACGAGAAAUUCCGUCGGAAUCCGGGAGGACCAUCUCCCAAGGCUAAAUACUCCCUAGUGACCGAUAGUGAACCAGUACCGUGAGGGAAAGGUGAAAAGCACCCCGGAAGGGGAGUGAAAUAGAACCUGAAACCGUGUGCCUACAACAAGUCAAAGCCCGUUAAUGGGUGAUGGCGUGCCUUUUGUAGAAUGAACCGGCGAGUUACGAUUGCAUGCGAGGUUAAGUUGAAGAGACGGAGCCGCAGCGAAAGCGAGUCUGAAUAGGGCGUUUGAGUAUGUAGUCGUAGACCCGAAACCAUGUGAUCUACCCAUGUCCAGGUUGAAGGUGCGGUAAAACGCACUGGAGGACCGAACCCACGUACGUUGAAAAGUGCGGGGAUGAGGUGUGGGUAGCGGAGAAAUUCCAAACGAACUUGGAGAUAGCUGGUUCUCUCCGAAAUAGCUUUAGGGCUAGCCUCGGAAUUGAGAAUGAUGGAGGUAGAGCACUGUUUGGACUAGGGGCCCAUCUCGGGUUACCGAAUUCAGAUAAACUCCGAAUGCCAUUCAUUCAUAUCCGGGAGUCAGACUGUGAGUGAUAAGAUCCAUAGUCGAAAGGGAAACAGCCCAGACCACCAGCUAAGGUCCCAAAAUAUAUGUUAAGUGGAAAAGGAUGUGGGGUUGCACAGACAACUAGG
Molecule: ribosomal RNA, 905 nt
Filed under: Enterococcus faecium
Lineage: Bacteria; Bacillati; Bacillota; Bacilli; Lactobacillales; Enterococcaceae
Description: partial 23S ribosomal RNA
Rfam family: Bacterial large subunit ribosomal RNA
Source: RNAcentral